GUCUAUGGCCAUGACAUUCUGAACGUCUGAUCUCGAAAGCUAAGCAGGGGCGGGCCUGGUUAGAACUUGGAUGGGAGACCACCUGGGAAUAUCAGGUGCUAUAGGCA
This 107-nucleotide ribosomal RNA is filed under the name Pteropus alecto (black flying fox). The record is from RNAcentral. Lineage: Eukaryota; Metazoa; Chordata; Mammalia; Chiroptera; Pteropodidae.